UAGGGAAUCUUCCGCAAUGGACGCAAGUCUGACGGAGCAACGCCGCGUGAGUGAAGAAGGAUUUCGGUUCGUAAAACUCUGUUGUUAGAGAAGAACAGCGCAUAGAGUAACUGUUAUGCGUGUGACGGUAUCUAACCAGAAAGCCACGGCUAACUACGUGCCAGCAGCCGCGGUAAUACGUAGGUGGCAAGCGUUGUCCGGAUUUAUUGGGCGUAAAGCGAGCGCAGGCGGUCAAUUAAGUCUGAUGUGAAAGCCCCCGGCUCAACCGGGGAGGGUCAUUGGAAACUGGUUGACUUGAGUGCAGAAGAGGAGAGUGGAAUUCCAUGUGUAGCGGUGAAAUGCGUAGAUAUAUGGGGGAACACCAGGGGCGAAGGCGACUCUCUGGUCUGUAACUGACGCUGAGGCUCGAAAGCGUGGGUAGCAAACAGG
Molecule: ribosomal RNA, 429 nt
Filed under: Bacteroidota bacterium
Lineage: Bacteria; Pseudomonadati; Bacteroidota
Description: Bacteroidetes bacterium partial 16S ribosomal RNA
Rfam family: Bacterial small subunit ribosomal RNA
Source: RNAcentral